UACAGAGGUCUCAAGCGUUGUUCGGAUUUACUGGGCGUAAAGGGCGCGUAGGCGGUCAGUGCAAGUCAGUUGUGAAAUCUCCGGGCUUAACUCGGAACGGUCAACUGAUACUGCUCGACUAGAGUGCGGAAGGGGCAACUGGAAUUCUUGGUGUAGCGGUGAAAUGCGUAGAUAUCAGGAGGAACACCGGUGGCGAAGGCGGGGUCCUGGGCCAGUACUGACGCUGAGGAGCGAAAGCGUGGGGAGCAAACAGGG
This 255-nucleotide ribosomal RNA is filed under the name uncultured bacterium. RNAcentral's name for it is "partial 16S ribosomal RNA". It matches the Rfam family "Bacterial small subunit ribosomal RNA", at positions 524 to 777 of the family's 1533-position model. The record is from RNAcentral.